RNAcentral lists this long non-coding RNA (1843 nucleotides) under Canis lupus familiaris (dog). RNAcentral describes it as "lncRNA (ENSCAFG00000057258.1, ENSCAFG00805019918.1, ENSCAFG00845030012.1)". Lineage: Eukaryota; Metazoa; Chordata; Mammalia; Carnivora; Canidae. The record is from RNAcentral.
UUUUUUUUUUUGCAUAACUAAGGUGGCUUUGGGAGAACUUCUAGAAAACGUAGCUGGGGAGUCCCUGCAUCCUUGAGACCACAGACUUGGUCGCUAAGUCACUGAGAGAAGUCUCGCCACAGCCAAGUUUUGCUGGUCACAGCAGUGCACUAAAUGCUGGACAUUUGUCAGGAGCUUGAGGAUCAAAAGGUUACUGAACAUUUCCCACUUAUUACUUCCUAGACUUUCUGUUCUGGCUUUUUCCUCUCUCCCUUGCUGUGCUCUGAACUCCAGGCAGACGAUUUUAUGUUUAUUGUAGAAUGAACCGAUAAAGGGAAAUGGUGGAACUGGGAGGACUUUCUGUUAACGUGACUCAUAAACUUUAAUGGUUUAUUACCCUGAAAGACAUCCAAUUACCACAGCUCUAAUAUCUUGCUAAUCUUGUAUUAAGUUUUUUUAAAGGGCAAAAUGUCAAUGAAUAGUAGUAUCUCUACUUUCCAUUUUCUGAAAAUUAAGCUGAAUCUUAAAAUGAUAUCAUGAAAGUAAAAUGCUUAACUCAUCAGAUUAGAGUAUGGUUAACACAUAAACAUUUUCCUACUAUUAUUUUCCAGGUUAACUUAGAAUUCCUCUUUCAACACAUCAUAUCAUAGAAUAAUUUGUCAACAAGAAUAUUCAGCAUGACUUAAGGAAACAUCAAGAUAUUCUAAAUUUCUUAAUGUGAGAAGCACUCUGCAUUUGCUGGUCCACAGGUAACAUAAAGCAGAAAUGUUACUUAAACUUAGAGAAUUUUUUCCUCAGUUGAUCAUGGAAGAGAGGUAACACUGCCCUUUGAAAUAAUAAUUGGCUACUUUUUGUCAAAUUAUAUUUAUAAAUGCAUAUGUAGAAAGAUAAAAUAUAACCAAAUCAGCAUGAUGUUACCUCAAGUCUGAUUUUUGUCAACUAAUUCUAAAUCAUAAUUAUGCCUAAAAAUUGACAAUGGAUGAGUAUUUUUCUCUAAAAUUUCUCUAGCACAACCAAGCACAAAGUAGUGGUUCUAGAGGUUGGAUUUAUUAUAACUAAAUGAAAUAAAUUUGCAAUUUUCCUCAAUAUUCCCUAAAGGUAAAGAAUGAGAAUUUACACUUGGAAUUACUUCUAGGUUAUUAUGUUUCUAACACAGUAAAUUGGCCCAUAGAAGCAGUACCCUCUACUAACACCUAACAAAAAAAUUGUUUCUCAUUCUGAGGAGAUACUAUCUUCAGACAUUCCAAGUUUUGAGUUAUAAACAUCCAGACCCCUUAAAGAAGAAAAACAAAAACAUUUUCAGUUGGGAAAAGUUUCACUAAGCUUUUAUUGUCUUAUCAAACUGGAUGUCAUGAAACUAGGUUUCAUUUUUCAUUAAAGAUGGAACUUUGAGUGGAGGGAAAUAGAUUCUUACAUAUGCUCUUUACAGAUUAACUGGAAAAAAUCAAUAUAUUUUCUUUUUCAAAAUAACACAAGAUUAUAGAAGAGAAAGGGGAAAUCACCCAAAUCCCACUAUCACUUAGAUAAAACUAGUUUUAAUUUUUUGCUGAAUAUCCCUCUAAGUAUUUCAAAUUAUGAUAAAAUAUACCUAAAAUCUACCAUUUUAAUCAUUUUAAGUAUACGACUCAGGCAUUAAGGACAUGCACAAUGUUGUGCAACUGUUGCCAGAAUUUUUUCUUUCUUUCUUUCAAACAGAAACUCUGUAUCCAUUUGUUAUGGAUUGAAUUAUGUCCUUCAAAAAGAGAUAUUGAUGUGCUAACCCCAGUACCCCAGAAUGUGACCUUUUUCGGAAAUAGGGUCUUCAUAGAGGUAACGAGAUGAGGCCAUCAGGGUGGAGCCUAACCCAAUAUAGCUGGUGUCCUUA